Molecule: small nucleolar RNA, 104 nt
Filed under: Microdochium bolleyi
Lineage: Eukaryota; Fungi; Ascomycota; Sordariomycetes; Xylariales; Microdochiaceae
Description: Small nucleolar RNA Z13/snr52
Rfam family: Small nucleolar RNA Z13/snr52
About the family: Z13 or snr52 is a member of the C/D class of snoRNA which contain the C (UGAUGA) and D (CUGA) box motifs.
Source: Rfam by way of RNAcentral
AAAAUGGAGAUGACGAAAUAUUUCGGAUGUAAACCUAUUGUCAUUGACUGAACAGCGCAUAACCCCGUGUUGAUACUCUCCGUUGCCUUCCUUCUGAUCCAUUA